RNAcentral lists this ribosomal RNA (489 nucleotides) under uncultured bacterium. Its description in RNAcentral is "partial 16S ribosomal RNA". It matches the Rfam family "Bacterial small subunit ribosomal RNA", at positions 28 to 507 of the family's 1533-position model. The record is from RNAcentral.
GACGAACGCUGGCGGCGUGCUUAAUACAUGCAAGUCGAACGGAAAGUCCCUGCCGUAGUUGGGUGCUCGAGAGGCGAACGGGUGCGAAACACGUGAGUAACCUGCCCUUGCCUUUGGGAUAACGUGAGGAAACUGGGGCUAAUACCGGAUAGGAGCGCCUGAUGCUUGGUGUGGGUUGGAAAUUAUCGGCGGGGGGGGAUGGACUCGCGGCGUGUUAGCCAGGUGGUGGGGUAGUGGCUCCGCAAGGCUAAGACGGGUAGACGGCCUGAGAGGGUGACCGGCCACACUGGGACUGAGAAACGGCCCAGACUGCUACGGGAGGCAGCAGUAGGGAAUCUUCGGCAAUGGACGAAAGUCUGACCGAGCAACGCCGCGUGAGUGAAGAAGGUUUUCGGAUCGUAAAGCUCUGUUGUAAGAGAAGAACGGGUGUGAGAGUGGAAAGUUCACACUGUGACGGUAUCUUACCAGAAAGGGACGGCUAACUACGUG